RNAcentral lists this ribosomal RNA (253 nucleotides) under uncultured bacterium. RNAcentral's name for it is "partial 16S ribosomal RNA". It matches the Rfam family "Bacterial small subunit ribosomal RNA", at positions 524 to 776 of the family's 1533-position model. The record is from RNAcentral.
UACGGGGGGGGUAAGCGUUGUUCGGAAUUACUGGGCGUAAAGGGCGCGUAGGCGGCCUGCUAAGUCGAACGUGAAAUCCCUGGGCUCAACCCAGGAACUGCGUCCGAUACUGGUUGGCUUGAAUCCGGGAGAGGGAUGUGGAAUUCCAGGUGUAGCGGUGAAAUGCGUAGAUAUCUGGAGGAACACCGGUGGCGAAGGCGACAUCCUGGACCGGCAUUGACGCUGAGGCGCGAAAGCCAGGGGAGCAAACGGG